GCUGGCGGCAGGCCUAACACAUGCAAGUCGAGCGCGUGUAGCAAUACACGAGCGGCAGACGGGAGAGUAACACGUGGCAACGUACCCUUCGGUUCGGAAUAACCCAGGGAAACUUGGAUUAAUACCGGAUACGUCCGUAAGGAGAAAGAUUCAUCGCCGAAGGAUCGGCCCGCGUCUGAUUAGCUAGUUGGUGAGGUAACGGCUCACCAAGGCGACGAUCAGUAGCUGGUCUGAGAGGAUGAUCAGCCUCACUGGGACUGAGACACGGCCCAGACUCCUACGGGAGGCAGCAGUGGGGAAUAUUGGACAAUGGGCGCAAGCCUGAUCCAGCCAUGCCGCGUGGGUGAUGAAGGCCCUAGGGUUGUAAAGCCCUUUCGGCGGGGAAGAUAAUGACGGUACCCGCAGAAGAAGCCCCGGCUAACUUCGUGCCAGCAGCCGCGGUAAUACGAAGGGGGCUAGCGUUGCUCGGAAUCACUGGGCGUAAAGCGCACGUAGGCGGGUCGUUAAGUCG
This 511-nucleotide ribosomal RNA is filed under the name uncultured soil bacterium. Its description in RNAcentral is "bacterial SSU rRNA". It matches the Rfam family "Bacterial small subunit ribosomal RNA", at positions 35 to 590 of the family's 1533-position model. The record is from RNAcentral.